GAUGAAGAACGUAGCGAAAUGCGAUAAGUAAUGUGAAUUGCAGAAUUCAGUGAAUCAUCGAAUCUUUGAACGCACAUUGCGCCCGCCAGUAUUCUGGCGGGCAUGCCUGUUCGAGCGUCAUUUCAACCAUCAAGCCCCAGGCUUGUGUUGGGGACCUGCGGCUGCCGCAGGCCCUGAAAACCAGUGGCGGGCUCGCUGUCACACCGGGCGUAGUAGAUUUUAUCUCGCUCAGGGCGUGCUGCGGGUUCCGGCCGUUAAAAAGCCUUUUUUACCCAAGGUUGACCUCGGAUCAGGUAGGAAGACACGCUGAACUUAAGCAUAUCAAUAAGCGGAGGA
This 336-nucleotide unclassified non-coding RNA is filed under the name soil metagenome. Its description in RNAcentral is "partial contains 5.8S ribosomal RNA, internal transcribed spacer 2, and large subunit ribosomal RNA". The stretch from base 1 to 120 matches the Rfam family "5.8S ribosomal RNA", at positions 35 to 154 of the family's 154-position model. The record is from RNAcentral.